ACUUAGUAACUCCUUAAUUCAUCGCUCAAUGCAUCAUUUAGAAACUCUCGUCCUUGUUGAGAAAAACCUGGGACAGUCGAUUUUCGUAAGCUUCUCUUGAGUCGAAUCAUUCGCCAAAUACAGAAACUGGAAGUAAUCACUUGGCUCGAGUUCCGGACUAUAAGGUGGAUGCAUAAGAACCUUCCAGCUAAGCUCCCGGAGCUUCUGGCGAGCCACUAACUCUGUAUGUGGCCUGGAAGCAUUGUUCAUCUCCCAAUGGCCAAAGCUGGCCACUUCUGGGCGACUGUUUCUUUCAUACGGUCCAAUUGUUGACUGUACAGGUCCGAAGUAAGAGUAGUUGAUUCCCUGCCAAUCUCACAAAACACGCAGCAAACCCUUUUUGACAAGCCAAUCCUGGCUUGGCCACCGUUUGUGUCGGUUCACCGCGUUUUAACCACAACGGCUUUCACUUGACGUUGACAUAAGGGAGCCACUUUUCACCACCAGUAACCAUCCACUUCAGAAAUUGAUAAAUUUUUUUCGAUUCAACAGUGAUUCGCAGAUGGAAGUCGUUGACGGCUGCUCCAGCAAUAUUGUAUCGAGAAAUGAAAUAACUGUCAGAGAAAUGUUUUUAAUACAAAAUUUUAUCCUUUAAA
Non-coding RNA from Bactrocera oleae (olive fruit fly), 635 nucleotides. NCBI's taxonomy places the organism in Eukaryota, Metazoa, Arthropoda, Insecta, Diptera, Tephritidae. The record is from RefSeq and is a predicted model, not a curated record.